GCCUCGGUAGACGAAUGGCACAGUCACCGGUCUCAAACACCGGGCCGAAAGGCGUGAGGGUUCGAUUCCCUCUCGGGGUAC
This 81-nucleotide transfer RNA is filed under the name Streptomyces phage Coruscant. RNAcentral describes it as "tRNA-Leu". It matches the Rfam family "tRNA". Rfam says of the family: Transfer RNA (tRNA) molecules are approximately 80 nucleotides in length. Their secondary structure includes four short double-helical elements and three loops (D, anti-codon, and T loops). The record is from RNAcentral. Lineage: Duplodnaviria; Heunggongvirae; Uroviricota; Caudoviricetes; Stanwilliamsviridae.